RNAcentral lists this long non-coding RNA (695 nucleotides) under Panax ginseng (ginseng). RNAcentral's name for it is "long non-coding RNA (PGIN_LNC005698)". Lineage: Eukaryota; Viridiplantae; Streptophyta; Magnoliopsida; Apiales; Araliaceae. The record is from RNAcentral.
CAGAUUUGGGGUCGCCACAAUCUCCAGUAAAGGUUCCAGCCCAGGUUAUGGCUAUGCUGUUUCCGAAACUAGUGCCAAUCAAAGCAAAAGAGGUGCUAAUUCCUGAUCCCGAGGUGGAAGAAAAGGAACGAAAACGUAAACAUGACCUUGCCUUGAUGAUGGCAGGUAUUUGCGUCAUUGUUCAUGAUGAACAUACAAAUAGAUACACCCCAGAUGAUGAUUUCCCAGAUGUUAUGGUUAUCAUUUGGGAAAAGGAAGACAAUGACGAUCCUUCCAUCAUUACAGUUCAUCAGGACUUUUGCCUCGACAAUUGGAGCAGCACUCCAUGCAUUGGUCGAUGAGGGUAAAAUGGGCAGAAAAUCCCUCUACCCCGUAGAUAACUUUAAUUGCUUGCUUUCCUUUACAGCACUAGCAGUUAUUUUAUCAAGUACAUGCUAACACUUUUGUAUGAUCAAACAGUUGCAUAUAUUAAGUGAAAGCAUCUUUUGUUUCAGGACUCUGAAUUUAGAUGUGCAUGUCUUUGCUGAUGACAUGCCUUCUCUCCACAAGGGUUGUAACUUUGAUGCAAAGUUGGACUCAGACUUGAUGGAUAUACAAGAAGACAUUGAGACACCUCAGGAGAUUAAGGAAUGGGUCGCAGACAAACCCAAACCCAAUCUUGAGCAAAACCACUCCUUUUAAUCUCGGAACCUUAG